UCCCGCAGAGCUCAAUUUCCUCUACGGCGCGCCUCUCUCCAAAUUCCCCUCCCAAUUUCUCAAGCGCUGCUUCUAGGGUUUCGGUGUAUGAGAUGCGAGCAUGGCUUUCGAGAUCUGCAAGGGCGUCAAUGAACUCGAGAAGGUCGUGCUUAAGGAGGUCCGCGGAAGCUCCGCCGAGGUGUAUUUGUAUGGGUGUCAUGUCACAUCUUGGAAAAAUG
Molecule: unclassified non-coding RNA, 218 nt
Filed under: Hevea brasiliensis (rubber tree)
Lineage: Eukaryota; Viridiplantae; Streptophyta; Magnoliopsida; Malpighiales; Euphorbiaceae
Source: RNAcentral